CUCCCUAUAUUUUUAAUGUUAUGACAUUAAAAAACAAUUCAAAAAUCUUAAAAAAUAAAAAAUAAAGAUAUCAAAAUAACCAAAUAGAUGGAGAGGUCGAUGCCAAAGGGGAGAGAAAGAGAGUUGAACAUUGAAAAGAUAGGGAAAAAAUCUGAAUAUAGAAGAGAGAGACGUGGGGAAGAUGAAUGUUGAAUAGAGAGAAAGAUGUGAGUUUAAAUAGGUGCUCAAAGUCCAAAUUGUAAUGGAAGCGGCCAAAUGACUUCGGUUAAUUAUCCCAUAUCGAGAAAUCUAAAGAGCUUUACCGUUUGGAUACCUGAAAAUAUAUUGUCUGUGAAAUAUAUUACUGGUGUAGUACAUUACUGCGUAAUACAUUACCUCCAAAUGGAUUGUCACUCGUAUUUUAGAUGCAACCUAUUUGGGUAGUAUUUAGAUGCAACUUGGGAAAUACAUUGUUACUGUUUGUCUAUAUCCGUUACUAUUUGGCUAUGUCCAGAAGAAAUAUAGGAAAUACAUUACCAACAUUUGUUUUUUUCUUUUUUGGCUUUAUAUCCAAAACAUGGUUGAACGUACAAUCCCUAUUAAUAUGUAGCUUAAACUUUAU
RNAcentral lists this long non-coding RNA (601 nucleotides) under Amborella trichopoda. RNAcentral describes it as "long non-coding RNA (ATRI_LNC002156)". The record is from RNAcentral. Lineage: Eukaryota; Viridiplantae; Streptophyta; Magnoliopsida; Amborellales; Amborellaceae.